RNAcentral lists this ribosomal RNA (233 nucleotides) under uncultured Actinomycetales bacterium. RNAcentral's name for it is "partial 16S ribosomal RNA". It matches the Rfam family "Bacterial small subunit ribosomal RNA", at positions 97 to 334 of the family's 1533-position model. The record is from RNAcentral. Lineage: Bacteria; Bacillati; Actinomycetota; Actinomycetes; Actinomycetales.
GGCGAACGGGUGAGUAACACGUGGGUGAUCUGCCCUGCACUUCGGGAUAAGCCUGGGAAACUGGGUCUAAUACCGGAUAGGAGCCAUUUUUAGUGUGAUGGUUGGAAAGUCUUUCGGUGUAGGAUGAGCUCGCGGCCUAUCAGCUUGUUGGUGGGGUAAUGGCCUACCAAGGCGGCGACGGGUAGCCGGCCUGAGAGGGUGGACGGCCACAUUGGGACUGAGAUACGGCCCAG